This 253-nucleotide ribosomal RNA is filed under the name uncultured bacterium. Its description in RNAcentral is "partial 16S ribosomal RNA". It matches the Rfam family "Bacterial small subunit ribosomal RNA", at positions 524 to 776 of the family's 1533-position model. The record is from RNAcentral.
UACGUAGGGUGCAAGCGUUGUCCGGAAUUAUUGGGCGUAAAGAGCUCGUAGGCGGUCUGUCGCGUCGGCUGUGAAAUCCCGAGGCUCAACCUCGGGUCUGCAGUCGAUACGGGCAAGCUGGAGUGUUGCAGGGGAGACUGGAAUUCCUGGUGUAGCGGUGAAAUGCGCAGAUAUCAGGAGGAACACCGGUGGCGAAGGCGGGUCUCUGGGCAACAACUGACGCUGAGGAGCGAAAGCGUGGGGAGCGAACAGG